Long non-coding RNA from Apis laboriosa (Himalayan honeybee), 1219 nucleotides. RefSeq lists it as uncharacterized. The record is from RefSeq and is a predicted model, not a curated record. NCBI's taxonomy places the organism in Eukaryota, Metazoa, Arthropoda, Insecta, Hymenoptera, Apidae. The transcript is spliced from 3 exons.
UUACAUAUUGCAAUCAUGCUUUCAAAUAACACUACAAUUUUUUUCCGUCAAUUCUUUUCUUUUGAUCAGUUCUCGAUUAUAAACGAAUAUUUUUUCAUAUAAUCUAACCUAACUUUAUGCAAUCGAUUACACAAUCUCACGAUGACACGAAAUCGAUACAAGAUAGUUUCGUGCCAUUGGAAGAUUGCAUAGCAUUGUCGAUUUUCGUUGUUGAGGAAUCGAAAUUCGCGAUUCAUUAUAGAUUAUAAAACUACGAAACAUCUCGACAUUUCUCAUACUUGAAAGCAAUGCUACGGUGCAACGAACAAUUACGUAACAUGGCAGCCAAGCAAGUGGAGUUGGCAAUCCUGUUCUCUUUUGAGACGCGCCCACCUUCUGUAUUUACAUAUAUUUACAUGUUAAUAUGUAGGGUGCAUCGGAUAGCGUUACCACCUCGAGCGAUUCAUUUCUUAGUCGUGUUAACAGAUCGAAAAGUGAUUCAAGAAAAUGCGAGAAGCUGAAGUCAUAUAGUAUGAAUGAAUCGUGAUAAUGUGAAUGUUAGUGUUUGUUAUGAUAUAUGUUCGAUCAUGUUCCCGUACAUGAGCGAGUAAGAAAAGUGUUUAAAAAUUUUUCUUUCUUUCUUUUACAUUCAAUUAUCGAUUAAUUAUCGUAUUAAUAUUUUAAUUGCGAAUUAUAGAUGAUAAAUUUUUGUUAUUAAUAGUUUAAUGUUAUACAAAUAGAUUAAAAGAAGUAGAUUAGUGAAAAAAUCUAAACUAACCUAUAUAAAAAAAUUUUUCAUUAGUUUUGUUAUAAAAUAAUAAUUAUAAAAAUCAAAUAUUCGACGUAUCGAAAAGAAUUUACAUUUUUAAAAAUAAAUAAUUAUUAAAUAGAAACCUAAAAUAGAUUUCAUAUUAAAGUCAUUCGGAAAAUGUGUGUAAACAUUCGAAGUAUAAUAAGCGAGGAGUGGGAGAAAGCUGAAUUCCGGCAGUUGUGCGUAGCAAGUCGUUCUGUUUAUAUCGAUUAUUGCGUCGCUUCGUUUCCUACGUAAAAGUAAGAUCCAUGUACCAUCGUUUCACAAAUUCCCCCAAACCUCGAAGGUAUUUAUUAAACGCUGGAUCGGAAACACUCGUCAUGUUCGACAAGAAAAGAUUUUCUAAUUCGAAGAAAAAAAAAAUCUACAAACUGUAUCCUUCUCACGGACACGCAUAAACUCCCACUCAGCAGCGACAAAGAAAUAAUG